RNAcentral lists this transfer-messenger RNA (356 nucleotides) under Novosphingobium sp. It matches the Rfam family "Alphaproteobacteria transfer-messenger RNA". Rfam says of the family: Bacterial tmRNA, also known as 10Sa RNA or SsrA, is named for its dual tRNA and mRNA-like properties. Its role is to liberate the mRNA from a stalled ribosome. The record is from RNAcentral. Lineage: Bacteria; Pseudomonadati; Pseudomonadota; Alphaproteobacteria; Sphingomonadales; Sphingomonadaceae.
GCCCUUUUCAUUUGGCGGCAGGUGCCUAUAUUGGUCUCUGCCGGGUUCGCCCGGCUAUGGUGAUAAAUUGUUGCGUGCAAUAGAUGCAGCGGACCCGGGGGCGGUACCCGGCGGCUCCACCAAAACGUCCUUCAUUGGGGGCGAAUGGGGCCGAAACAGGAUCGACGAACGUCUAAAGGGGUUUGCUUUGUCCCGGUGAGCUACCACCGAUAUCGGUGCAAAACGUACAGUUGCCAAUGACAACCGUGCUCCGGUGGCCGUCGCUGCGUAAGCAGUUGACCUAAACCGAUCUUAAGUCCCUGCGGUUAGCCCCGUAGGGCGGGGUUCGGAGGUACCUGGCAACAGAAACCUCCACU